AAAUCAAUAUAAACUGAUUUUUAAGUAAUAUUUAUUUAUUUAUUUUUGUUUUUAUUAUUAUAAUUUGUUAAAAAUAAUUAUAUAAUUUAAAUGUUUUAGUAAUUUUUAAUGAAAAAAUAAUAUUUAUAAUAGUUAAUUAUGUAUUGUGAAAGAAUAUUGAAAUAUUUUGAAAAAUUUUUAUAAAAAAAGAAAAUUUUUUUUAUUGUACCUUGUGUAUCAGGGUUUAUUAAAUAAUUAAUAUAAAUAUAUUAAUCUCGAUUUUAUAAGAGUUAAUAGUUUAUGAAAGUUAAUGUAUCAAAAUUAUUUUAAAUAAACUAUUAGAAAUGAAAUGUUAUUCGUUUAUAAAGGUAUCUAGUUUUUUUAGAAAUAAAUUUAAUUUACAAUUUUUUAAUUUUUUGUUUAUUUUUAAAAGUGAAAAAAUUAUUAAAUUGAAUAUUUUAAGGGAUAAGCUUUAAAAUAAAUUAUUAAAAAUCAAUAAUUAUUUUAUAAAAUGUAUGCUUAGAAUUAGCAAUCUAUUAAUUUGUUAUAAAUUAUUUUAUAUAGUUUGUAUUAUUUAUUUGUAUUUUAAAUAUAUUAUAAAAAUAUUUUUUUUAAUGUAAUUAUAGAAAGGAAUAAUGAUAAAAUUAGUAUAUUUUUAUGUUUAUAUAAUUAAUUAUGAUAAUUUUAUAUAAAGAAUUCGGCAAAUUUAUUAUACUCGCCUGUUUAACAAAAACAUGUCUUUUUGAAUUAUUUUUAAAGUCUAACCUGCCCACUGAAUUUAUUUUAAAUGGCCGCAGUAUUUUAACUGUGCAAAGGUAGCAUAAUCAUUUGUCUUUUAAUUGAAGGCUGGAAUGAACGGUUGGACGAAGUAUAANCUGUUUCAUAUAAAUUUAUGAUAGAAUUUUAUAUUUUAGUUAAAAAGCUAAAAUUUUAUUAAAAGACGAGAAGACCCUAUAAAUCUUUAUAUUUUAUAUUAUUUAGAUUUUAUUGAUAUAUUUUAUUUUUAUAUUAUAAAAUAUUUUGUUGGGGUGAUAUUAAAAUUUAAUUAACUUUUAAUUUUAUUUAAUCAUUAAUUUAUGAAUAACUGAUCCGUUAAUAACGAUUAUAAUAUUAAGUUACUUUAGGGAUAACAGCGUAAUUUUUUUGGAGAGUUCUUAUUGAUAAAAAAGUUUGCGACCUCGAUGUUGGAUUAAGAGAUAUUUUUAGGUGUAGCUGCUUAAAUAUAAAGUCUGUUCGACUUUU
RNAcentral lists this ribosomal RNA (1221 nucleotides) under Acidiella sp. HYH-2. RNAcentral describes it as "partial 16S ribosomal RNA". Lineage: Eukaryota; Metazoa; Arthropoda; Insecta; Diptera; Tephritidae. The record is from RNAcentral.